This 341-nucleotide ribosomal RNA is filed under the name uncultured Synergistaceae bacterium. RNAcentral's name for it is "bacterial SSU rRNA". It matches the Rfam family "Bacterial small subunit ribosomal RNA", at positions 1045 to 1382 of the family's 1533-position model. Lineage: Bacteria; Thermotogati; Synergistota; Synergistia; Synergistales; Synergistaceae. The record is from RNAcentral.
AUGGCGUGUCGUCAGCUCGUGUCGUGAGAUGUUGGGUUAAGGUCCCGCAACGAGCGCAACCCCUGCAUUCAGUUGCCAUCGGGUAAUGCCGGGCACUCUGGAAGGACUGCCAUCGACAAGAUGGAGGAAGGUGGGGAUGACGUCAAGUCAUCAUGGCCCUUAUGUCCAGGGCGACACACGUGCUACAAUGGCCGGCACAACGGGAAGCGAGUUCGCGAGGACGAGCGGAUCCCUCAAAGCCGGUCGCAGUUCGGAUUGAAGUCUGCAACUCGACUUCAUGAAGCUGGAAUCGCUAGUAAUCGUGGAUCAGCCAAGCCGCGGUGAAUACGUUCCCGGGCCUU